This 264-nucleotide ribosomal RNA is filed under the name Pseudomonas fragi. Its description in RNAcentral is "partial 16S ribosomal RNA". It matches the Rfam family "Bacterial small subunit ribosomal RNA", at positions 517 to 780 of the family's 1533-position model. Lineage: Bacteria; Pseudomonadati; Pseudomonadota; Gammaproteobacteria; Pseudomonadales; Pseudomonadaceae. The record is from RNAcentral.
GCGGUAAUACAGAGGGUGCAAGCGUUAAUCGGAAUUACUGGGCGUAAAGCGCGCGUAGGUGGUUUGUUAAGUCGGAUGUGAAAUCCCCGGGCUCAACCUGGGAACUGCAUCCGAAACUGGCAAGCUAGAGUAUGGUAGAGGGUAGUGGAAUUUCCUGUGUAGCGGUGAAAUGCGUAGAUAUAGGAAGGAACACCAGUGGCGAAGGCGACUACCUGGACUGAUACUGACACUGAGGUGCGAAAGCGUGGGGAGCAAACAGGAUUA